UAAAUAGCCCGGCCGGCUUUGGCUGGCCGCUGGCUUCUUAGAGGGACAGCUGGCGUUUAGCCAGUGGAAGUGAGGCAAUAACAGGUCUGUGAUGCCCUUAGAUGUUCUGGGCCGCACGCGCGCUACACUGACCGAGCCAGCGAGUUUUCAUUCCUUGGCCGGAAGGCCUG
Molecule: ribosomal RNA, 170 nt
Filed under: Platygloeaceae sp.
Lineage: Eukaryota; Fungi; Basidiomycota; Pucciniomycetes; Platygloeales; Platygloeaceae
Description: partial small subunit ribosomal RNA
Rfam family: Eukaryotic small subunit ribosomal RNA
Source: RNAcentral